UUUGAUUGAGCAAGGAGACAGAUCCUUUUUUGAGAAACUCGAAGAGGAACACCCCUGCCAACAGCUCCACUCUAGCCUGGUCAGACCUGCCCUGGACCCUGACCUACAGUACGCGGUCUGUGUGGCUGAAGCUGCUGAUUUUGUUAUGACAGCAAUAGAAAACUAAAAACAGUGCUCGCUAAAUGCAUCCUGUUAAAAUUAAUUUGUUUUUUUAGGUCAAAUCAGUAAAACUCUAGGGUUUAGAAUGAGGUAGGUAAUAGUUCCGGUGACUCUGCUCUGGUCAGACUUCCACGGUAAUUCUGAUGGUGCUACAGGAAACGUGAGCAGCCAGAAUCAGGUGAGGCCCAACGGCCAGGCCAAUGAGAAGCAACCAGUCACCACGCCUGCGAGUGCCAGUUGCCUAGCCUCAAGACAAUGACAGGUCGGGUAGGAAUGAAGUCAUCAACUAACCUGCAAGGUCGUCAUGUGAAAGAGGGUCUAGCCUUACACUCCCACGAGUGGAGGUUACACAGACAGACUGUGACCUAGCAUCAGAAGAACAGUUGGACCGUUUAGCAAGAACGGCACGGGCCCCUCAGGAGAUGCUUCUCUGUCAAGCACAGAUAUCACUGCUGGAAAAAUCACACUUCUGGAUAUUUCCUGACUAUCUUCACUGUCUGAGUGUUCCUGUAAUUGCAAUUUCUUUGUCAGUUUCCAGAAUGGUGAACAUGCAAUUUUGCUUCAAGUGAGAAGCAGGAAAUGUAUUGGAAUGUUGGACACCCACCAUGGCUCAAAACAGGAAAGCUUGAGAACAUCGUAUUUUUGACCAAAUGAGACAAUCAAUAAAAUAGGUCUAAGAAGCUCUAAAACUGA
This is a non-coding RNA of Callorhinus ursinus (northern fur seal), 852 nucleotides long. The record is from RefSeq and is a predicted model, not a curated record. NCBI's taxonomy places the organism in Eukaryota, Metazoa, Chordata, Mammalia, Carnivora, Otariidae.